GUUGGUAGAGCGUCAGUCUCAUAAUCUGAAGGUCGCCAGUUCGAUCCUGGCAGGGAGCA
Albugo candida is the source of this 59-nucleotide transfer RNA. It matches the Rfam family "tRNA", at positions 15 to 71 of the family's 71-position model. Rfam says of the family: Transfer RNA (tRNA) molecules are approximately 80 nucleotides in length. Their secondary structure includes four short double-helical elements and three loops (D, anti-codon, and T loops). Lineage: Eukaryota; Oomycota; Peronosporomycetes; Albuginales; Albuginaceae. The record is from Rfam.